UUGUGUUUUCUGACUCGUCGUAACGUUUCCCCACGGAGUUUGUGUUACUGUUAUGUCCACGUUUUGAAUGUCAAACAAAUGAACUGUCAACUGAGUCUGAAGGCUGUUCACCGCUGCACCGACUCAUUAACUGAUGAGUUAAUGAGGAGCGAGCUGGCCCGCAAAACGGAGAGGGACGCAGGGCCCAGAGUAAUGGACGAAGGUAGACCUCAAAUCCUCAACUCCAGUCUGGCGGUCUAGAGUUGCUCCAAACCUGUCAUCUAACGCCAUCAGCAGGAUGAUUACAGGAGCCUCUCCAAAAAAAAAACAGAAAGAAAACCGAGUCCAAACACUUCAGUUCCCAGGUCGCGAUUUUCGAACGUGACCAUUUCACGAACUGCCAUGACACUGGGCUGCUCUGGGGGACGCAACAACGGGGAAAUGAAACACCACACACUGGCGACAACAACGAGACGGACCGCCACACACGAACGAUGCGAUCCCCGGGCGCAGGGACACGAUCCGUCGUCUCUGUGGCACGCAACAACGGGGACAUGAAACGCCACAUGUCGGACACAACAACAGGACGGUUGUGGUUAGGAAAAGAACAAUAAACAAUGACAUCACAUAAUAUUGGUAUAUACUAAAGGUGUGGCGAACCCAAAGGUAAUUAUCACAGACUUUGCAACUCUGUAGCAGCAGCAGACCCAGUCAGAGACGAGCUGGGGAACACAGCGGAGCAUUCAGCAGCCAAAGAGACAAAGAUUUCCUCAGGAGCUGCUGGAGACAUCUUAAAGAGAGAUAAUAUUUGACUGACAUUAAUCAGGAGGACACCAACACCACUUCAAAUAAAUGCUAAUGUUGCUCUGUGACAUAAUAUAUGUGACAUAUGGUGAUAUUAUUAUGUCAUUGUUGAGUUUACCGCUUGUUGCUGCUUGGUAAAGCCAAAGUAAACAGAGAAUGUUGUUGACCAGCGCUGAGAGAGCAGUUAUCCAGGAUUGUGUUACGAUCCUGUGUGAUACAACUGUGUUGUAGAAAGACAUUAAAUGAAACUUGAUGUUGUAUCAUCAUCAAAUGCAUUUUCCAUUCAGUCUGAAGGUGGCUGUAGAAC
This is a long non-coding RNA of Perca fluviatilis (European perch), 1090 nucleotides long. RefSeq lists it as uncharacterized. Lineage: Eukaryota; Metazoa; Chordata; Actinopteri; Perciformes; Percidae. The record is from RefSeq and is a predicted model, not a curated record. The transcript has 3 exons.